GACGAACGCUGGCGGCGUGCUUAACACAUGCAAGUCGAACGGAAAGGCCCUGCAUUUGUGGGGUGCUCGAGUGGCGAACGGGUGAGUAACACGUGAGUAACCUGCCCUUGACUUUGGGAUAACUUCAGGAAACUGGGGCUAAUACCGGAUAGGAGCUCCUGCUGCAUGGUGGGGGUUGGAAAGUUUCGGCGGUUGGGGAUGGACUCGCGGCUUAUCAGCUUGUUGGUGGGGUAGUGGCUUACCAAGGCUUUGACGGGUAGCCGGCCUGAGAGGGUGACCGGCCACAUUGGGACUGAGAUACGGCCCAGACUCCUACGGGAGGCAGCAGUGGGGAAUAUUGCACAAUGGGCGGAAGCCUGAUGCAGCAACGCCGCGUGCGGGAUGACGGCCUUCGGGUUGUAAACCGCUUUCGCCUGUGACGAAGCGUGAGUGACGGUAAUGGGUAAAGAAGCACCGGCUAACUACGU
Molecule: ribosomal RNA, 467 nt
Filed under: uncultured bacterium
Lineage: Bacteria
Description: partial 16S ribosomal RNA
Rfam family: Bacterial small subunit ribosomal RNA
Source: RNAcentral